This 2904-nucleotide ribosomal RNA is filed under the name Escherichia coli. Its description in RNAcentral is "23S ribosomal RNA". It matches the Rfam family "Bacterial large subunit ribosomal RNA". Lineage: Bacteria; Pseudomonadati; Pseudomonadota; Gammaproteobacteria; Enterobacterales; Enterobacteriaceae. The record is from RNAcentral.
GGUUAAGCGACUAAGCGUACACGGUGGAUGCCCUGGCAGUCAGAGGCGAUGAAGGACGUGCUAAUCUGCGAUAAGCGUCGGUAAGGUGAUAUGAACCGUUAUAACCGGCGAUUUCCGAAUGGGGAAACCCAGUGUGUUUCGACACACUAUCAUUAACUGAAUCCAUAGGUUAAUGAGGCGAACCGGGGGAACUGAAACAUCUAAGUACCCCGAGGAAAAGAAAUCAACCGAGAUUCCCCCAGUAGCGGCGAGCGAACGGGGAGCAGCCCAGAGCCUGAAUCAGUGUGUGUGUUAGUGGAAGCGUCUGGAAAGGCGCGCGAUACAGGGUGACAGCCCCGUACACAAAAAUGCACAUGCUGUGAGCUCGAUGAGUAGGGCGGGACACGUGGUAUCCUGUCUGAAUAUGGGGGGACCAUCCUCCAAGGCUAAAUACUCCUGACUGACCGAUAGUGAACCAGUACCGUGAGGGAAAGGCGAAAAGAACCCCGGCGAGGGGAGUGAAAAAGAACCUGAAACCGUGUACGUACAAGCAGUGGGAGCACGCUUAGGCGUGUGACUGCGUACCUUUUGUAUAAUGGGUCAGCGACUUAUAUUCUGUAGCAAGGUUAACCGAAUAGGGGAGCCGAAGGGAAACCGAGUCUUAACUGGGCGUUAAGUUGCAGGGUAUAGACCCGAAACCCGGUGAUCUAGCCAUGGGCAGGUUGAAGGUUGGGUAACACUAACUGGAGGACCGAACCGACUAAUGUUGAAAAAUUAGCGGAUGACUUGUGGCUGGGGGUGAAAGGCCAAUCAAACCGGGAGAUAGCUGGUUCUCCCCGAAAGCUAUUUAGGUAGCGCCUCGUGAACUCAUCUCCGGGGGUAGAGCACUGUUUCGGCAAGGGGGUCAUCCCGACUUACCAACCCGAUGCAAACUGCGAAUACCGGAGAAUGUUAUCACGGGAGACACACGGCGGGUGCUAACGUCCGUCGUGAAGAGGGAAACAACCCAGACCGCCAGCUAAGGUCCCAAAGUCAUGGUUAAGUGGGAAACGAUGUGGGAAGGCCCAGACAGCCAGGAUGUUGGCUUAGAAGCAGCCAUCAUUUAAAGAAAGCGUAAUAGCUCACUGGUCGAGUCGGCCUGCGCGGAAGAUGUAACGGGGCUAAACCAUGCACCGAAGCUGCGGCAGCGACGCUGAUGCGUUGUUGGGUAGGGGAGCGUUCUGUAAGCCUGCGAAGGUGUGCUGUGAGGCAUGCUGGAGGUAUCAGAAGUGCGAAUGCUGACAUAAGUAACGAUAAAGCGGGUGAAAAGCCCGCUCGCCGGAAGACCAAGGGUUCCUGUCCAACGUUAAUCGGGGCAGGGUGAGUCGACCCCUAAGGCGAGGCCGAAAGGCGUAGUCGAUGGGAAACAGGUUAAUAUUCCUGUACUUGGUGUUACUGCGAAGGGGGGACGGAGAAGGCUAUGUUGGCCGGGCGACGGUUGUCCCGGUUUAAGCGUGUAGGCUGGUUUUCCAGGCAAAUCCGGAAAAUCAAGGCUGAGGCGUGAUGACGAGGCACUACGGUGCUGAAGCAACAAAUGCCCUGCUUCCAGGAAAAGCCUCUAAGCAUCAGGUAACAUCAAAUCGUACCCCAAACCGACACAGGUGGUCAGGUAGAGAAUACCAAGGCGCUUGAGAGAACUCGGGUGAAGGAACUAGGCAAAAUGGUGCCGUAACUUCGGGAGAAGGCACGCUGAUAUGUAGGUGAAGUCCCUCGCGGAUGGAGCUGAAAUCAGUCGAAGAUACCAGCUGGCUGCAACUGUUUAUUAAAAACACAGCACUGUGCAAACACGAAAGUGGACGUAUACGGUGUGACGCCUGCCCGGUGCCGGAAGGUUAAUUGAUGGGGUUAGCGCAAGCGAAGCUCUUGAUCGAAGCCCCGGUAAACGGCGGCCGUAACUAUAACGGUCCUAAGGUAGCGAAAUUCCUUGUCGGGUAAGUUCCGACCUGCACGAAUGGCGUAAUGAUGGCCAGGCUGUCUCCACCCGAGACUCAGUGAAAUUGAACUCGCUGUGAAGAUGCAGUGUACCCGCGGCAAGACGGAAAGACCCCGUGAACCUUUACUAUAGCUUGACACUGAACAUUGAGCCUUGAUGUGUAGGAUAGGUGGGAGGCUUUGAAGUGUGGACGCCAGUCUGCAUGGAGCCGACCUUGAAAUACCACCCUUUAAUGUUUGAUGUUCUAACGUUGACCCGUAAUCCGGGUUGCGGACAGUGUCUGGUGGGUAGUUUGACUGGGGCGGUCUCCUCCUAAAGAGUAACGGAGGAGCACGAAGGUUGGCUAAUCCUGGUCGGACAUCAGGAGGUUAGUGCAAUGGCAUAAGCCAGCUUGACUGCGAGCGUGACGGCGCGAGCAGGUGCGAAAGCAGGUCAUAGUGAUCCGGUGGUUCUGAAUGGAAGGGCCAUCGCUCAACGGAUAAAAGGUACUCCGGGGAUAACAGGCUGAUACCGCCCAAGAGUUCAUAUCGACGGCGGUGUUUGGCACCUCGAUGUCGGCUCAUCACAUCCUGGGGCUGAAGUAGGUCCCAAGGGUAUGGCUGUUCGCCAUUUAAAGUGGUACGCGAGCUGGGUUUAGAACGUCGUGAGACAGUUCGGUCCCUAUCUGCCGUGGGCGCUGGAGAACUGAGGGGGGCUGCUCCUAGUACGAGAGGACCGGAGUGGACGCAUCACUGGUGUUCGGGUUGUCAUGCCAAUGGCACUGCCCGGUAGCUAAAUGCGGAAGAGAUAAGUGCUGAAAGCAUCUAAGCACGAAACUUGCCCCGAGAUGAGUUCUCCCUGACUCCUUGAGAGUCCUGAAGGAACGUUGAAGACGACGACGUUGAUAGGCCGGGUGUGUAAGCGCAGCGAUGCGUUGAGCUAACCGGUACUAAUGAACCGUGAGGCUUAACCUU